Non-coding RNA from Phrynosoma platyrhinos (Desert horned lizard), 72 nucleotides. The record is from the annotation of a GenBank genome assembly. Lineage: Eukaryota; Metazoa; Chordata; Lepidosauria; Squamata; Phrynosomatidae.
GCCAGUGUGGACUAAUGGUUGGAGCAUUGGACUACAAAUCUGUAGGCCAAGGUUUGAAUCCCUGCUUGGCCA